Molecule: ribosomal RNA, 408 nt
Filed under: uncultured bacterium
Lineage: Bacteria
Description: partial 16S ribosomal RNA
Rfam family: Bacterial small subunit ribosomal RNA
Source: RNAcentral
GACGAACGCUGGCGGCGUGCUUAACACAUGCAAGUCGAACGAAGUGGCGAACGGGUGAGUAAUGCGUAAUCAACCUGCCCUUCAGAGGGGGACAACAGUUGGAAACGACUGCUAAUACCGCAAACUGAAGGGGGGGAUGGCGUCUGAUUGGCUCGUUGGAGGGGUAACGGCCAACCAAGGCGAGUAUCAGUAGCCGGUCUGGGAGGAUGAACGGCCACAUUGGGACUGAGACACGGGCCAGACUCCUACGGGAGGCAGCAGUGGGGAAUCUUCCGCAAUGGACGAAAGGCUGACGGAGCAACGCCGCGUGAGUGAUGACGGCCUUCGGGUUGUAAAGCUCUGUUAAUCGGGACGCGGUACCGGAAUAGAAAGCCACGGCUAACUACGUGCCAGCAGCCGCGGUAAUAC